RNAcentral lists this ribosomal RNA (465 nucleotides) under uncultured bacterium. Its description in RNAcentral is "partial 16S ribosomal RNA". It matches the Rfam family "Bacterial small subunit ribosomal RNA", at positions 338 to 795 of the family's 1533-position model. The record is from RNAcentral.
CCUACGGGCGGCUGCAGUAGGGAAUCUUCCACAAUGGGCGAAAGCCUGAUGGAGCAACGCCGCGUGGGUGAAGAAGGUCUUCUGAUCGUAAAACCCUGUUGUUAGAGAAGAAAGUGCGUGCGAGUAACUGUUCACGUUUCGACGUUAUCUACCCAGAAAGCCACGGCUAACUACGUGCCAGCAGCCGCGGUAAUACGUAGGUGGCAAGCGUUAUCCGGAUUGAUUGGGCGUAAAGGGAACGCAGACGGUCUGUUAAGUCAGAUGUGAAAGCCUUCGGUUUAACCGUAGGAGUGCAUUGGAAACUGGGAGACUUGAGUGCAGAAGAGGAGAGCGGAACUCGAGGUGUAGCGGUGAAAUGCGUAGAUAUAUGGAAGAACACCAGUGGCGAAGGCGGCUCUCUGGGCUGUAACUGACGCUGAGGUUCGAAAGCGUGGGUAGCAAACAGGAUUAGAUACCCCAGUAGUC